CAGUCGAGCGACAGAUGAGAAGCUUGCUUCUCUGAUGUUAGCGGCGGACGGGUGAGUAACACGUGGGUAACCUACCUAUAAGACUGGGAUAACUCCGGGAAACCGGGGCUAAUACCGGAUAAUAUAUUGAACCGCAUGGUUCAAUGUUGAAAGACGGUUUCGGCUGUCACUUAUAGAUGGACCCGCGCCGUAUUAGCUAGUUGGUAAGGUAACGGCUUACCAAGGCAACGAUACGUAGCCGACCUGAGAGGGUGAUCGGCCACACUGGAACUGAGACACGGUCCAGACUCCUACGGGAGGCAGCAGUAGGGAAUCUUCCGCAAUGGGCGAAAGCCUGACGGAGCAACGCCGCGUGAGUGAUGAAGGUCUUAGGAUCGUAAAACUCUGUUGUUAGGGAAGAACAAAUUUGUUAGUAACUGAACAAGUCUUGACGGUACCUAACCAGAAAGCCACGGCUAACUACGUGCCAGCAGCCGCGGUAAUACGUAGGUGGCAAGCGUUAUCCGGAAUUAUUGGGCGUAAAGCGCGCGUAGGCGGUUUCUUAAGUCUGAUGUGAAAGCCCACGGCUCAACCGUGGAGGGUCAUUGGAAACUGGGGGAACUUGAGUGCAGAAGAGGAGAGUGGAAUUCCAUGUGUAGCGGUGAAAUGCGCAGAGAUAUGGAGGAACACCAGUGGCGAACGCGGCUCUCUGGUCUGUAACUGACGCUGAUGUGCGAAAGCGUGGGGAUCAAACAGGAUUAGAUACCCUGGUAGUCCACGUCGUAGACGAUGA
Molecule: ribosomal RNA, 772 nt
Filed under: Mammaliicoccus lentus
Lineage: Bacteria; Bacillati; Bacillota; Bacilli; Caryophanales; Staphylococcaceae
Description: bacterial SSU rRNA
Rfam family: Bacterial small subunit ribosomal RNA
Source: RNAcentral